GGGAGAUAACUCUGUAAUAUCAGCUAAACGUUUUAAUUACAUUGCGUUGUGAAGGCAAUAUAAAGCUUCUCAAUGAUCAAAAUUAGUGUUUGUGAAACUGCUAUAUAAUCAGUGUAAUUUUUCUGAUAAAACGCUUGGUUCAAAUUUUUUCAAUUUUUUAUAUUUUUGUUAAAGGGUCAAAGUAAAUACUUUGUAAAAAAUUUAUGAAAAUUAAACGAGCCAAA
RNAcentral lists this long non-coding RNA (224 nucleotides) under Mytilus galloprovincialis (Mediterranean mussel). Lineage: Eukaryota; Metazoa; Mollusca; Bivalvia; Mytilida; Mytilidae. The record is from RNAcentral.